CUUAGUGGCGGACGGGUGAGUAACGCGUGGGUAACCUGCCCCAUACCGGGGGAUACCACCUGGAAACAGGUGCUAAUACCGCAUAAGCGCACGGGAGCGCAUGCUCCUGUGUGAAAAACUCCGGUGGUAUACGAUGGAUCCGCGUCUGAUUAGCUUGUUGGCGGGGUAACAGCCCACCAAGGCGACGAUCAGUAGCCGGCCUGAGAGGGUGAACGGCCACAUUGGGACUGAGACACGGCCCAAACUCCUACGGGAGGCAGCAG
RNAcentral lists this ribosomal RNA (263 nucleotides) under uncultured bacterium. RNAcentral's name for it is "partial 16S ribosomal RNA". It matches the Rfam family "Bacterial small subunit ribosomal RNA", at positions 91 to 354 of the family's 1533-position model. The record is from RNAcentral.